RNAcentral lists this ribosomal RNA (468 nucleotides) under uncultured bacterium. RNAcentral describes it as "partial 16S ribosomal RNA". It matches the Rfam family "Bacterial small subunit ribosomal RNA", at positions 28 to 507 of the family's 1533-position model. The record is from RNAcentral.
GACGAACGCUGGCGGCGUGCUUAACACAUGCAAGUCGAACGGAAAGGCCCUGCUUUUGUGGGGUGCUCGAGUGGCGAACGGGUGAGUAACACGUGAGUAACCUGCCCUUGACUUUGGGAGAACUUCAGGAAACUGGGGCUAAUACCGGAUAGGAUCUCCUGCUGCAUGGUGGGCGUUGGAAAGUUUCGGCGGUUGGGGAUGGACUCGCGGCUUAUGAGCUUGUUGGUGGGGUAGUGGCUUACCAAGGCUUUGACGGGUAGCCGGCAUGAGAGGGUGACCGGCGACCAUGGGCCUAAGAGAGGCAGCAGAAUGCAAUGGGAGGCAAUGGUGGGAAGUAUUGCACAGUGGGAGGACGUGUGUGGCGAAAGCGCCGGGUGCGGAAUGCCGGCCUUCGGGUUGUGAACAGCUUUCGCCUGUGACGAAGCGUGAGUGACGGUACUGGGUAAAGAAGCACCGGCUAACUACGUG